UACGUAGGGUGCGAGCGUUAAUCGGAAUUACUGGGCGUAAAGCGUGCGCAGGCGGUUCGUUAUGUCCGAUGUGAAAGCCCCGAGCUCAACUUGGGAAUGGCAUUGGAAACUGGCGGGCUGGAGUGUGGCAGAGGGGGGGUGGAAUUCCACGUGUAGCAGUGAAAUGCGUAGAGAUGUGGAGGAACACCGAUGGCGAAGGCAGCCCCCUGGGCCAACACUGACGCUCAGGCACGAAAGCGUGGGGAGCAAACAGG
RNAcentral lists this ribosomal RNA (254 nucleotides) under uncultured bacterium. RNAcentral describes it as "partial 16S ribosomal RNA". It matches the Rfam family "Bacterial small subunit ribosomal RNA", at positions 524 to 776 of the family's 1533-position model. The record is from RNAcentral.